AGAGUUUGAUCAUGGCUCAGGACGAACGCUGGCGGCGUGCCUAAUACAUGCAAGUCGAGCGAGCGGAACUAACAGAUUUACUUCGGUAAUGACGUUAGGAAAGCGAGCGGCGGAUGGGUGAGUAACACGUGGGGAACCUGCCCCAUAGUCUGGGAUACCACUUGGAAACAGGUGCUAAUACCGGAUAAGAAAGCAGAUCGCAUGAUCAGCUUUUAAAAGGCGGCGUAAGCUGUCGCUAUGGGAUGGCCCCGCGGUGCAUUAGCUAGUUGGUAAGGUAAAGGCUUACCAAGGCGAUGAUGCAUAGCCGAGUUGAGAGACUGAUCGGCCACAUUGGGACUGAGACACGGCCCAAACUCCUACGGGAGGCAGCAGUAGGGAAUCUUCCACAAUGGACGCAAGUCUGAUGGAGCAACGCCGCGUGAGUGAAGAAGGUUUUCGGAUCGUAAAGCUCUGUUGUUGGUGAAGAAGGAUAGAGGUAGUAACUGGCCUUUAUUUGACGGUAAUCAACCAGAAAGUCACGGCUAACUACGUGCCAGCAGCCGCGGUAAUACGUAGGUGGCAAGCGUUAUCCGGAUUUAUUGGGCGUAAAGCGAGCGCAGGCGGUUGUUUAGGUCUGAUGUGAAAGCCUUCGGCUUAACCGAAGAAGUGCAUCGGAAACCGGGCGACUUGAGUGCAGAAGAGGACAGUGGAACUCCAUGUGUAGCGGUGGAAUGCGUAGAUAUAUGGAAGAACACCAGUGGCGAAGGCGGCUGUCUGGUCUGCAACUGACGCUGAGGCUCGAAAGCAUGGGUAGCGAACAGGAUUAGAUACCCUGGUAGUCC
RNAcentral lists this ribosomal RNA (821 nucleotides) under uncultured bacterium. RNAcentral's name for it is "bacterial SSU rRNA". It matches the Rfam family "Bacterial small subunit ribosomal RNA", at positions 8 to 796 of the family's 1533-position model. The record is from RNAcentral.